CAUAGUGGCGCACGGGUGCGUAACACGUAUGCAACCUACCUUACAUUGGGGGAUAGCCUUUCGAAAGGGAGAUUAAUACCGCAUAAGACAGUAACUGGGCAUCCAGUAGCUGUUAAAGAUUUAUCGAUGUAAGAUGGGCAUGCGUCCAAUUAGUUAGUUGGCGAGGUAAUGGCUCACCAAGACUUUGAUUGGUAGGGGAACUGAGAGGUCAAUCCCCCACACUGGCACUGAGAUACGGGCCAGACUCCUACGGGAGGCAGCAGUAGGGAAUAUUGGGCAAUGGACGCAAGUCUGACCCAGCCAUGCCGCGUGCAGGACGAAGGCGUUAUGCGUUGUAAACUGCUUUUAUACAGGAAGAAACGACUCUUGCGAGAGGCAUUGACGGUACUGUAUGAAUAAGCACCGGCUAACUCCGUGCCAGCAGCCGCGGUAAUACGGAGGGUGCAAGCGUUGUCCGGAUUUAUUGGGUUUAAAGGGUGCGCAGGUGGUUUAUUAAGUCAGUGGUGAAAGACGGUCGCUCAACGAUUGCAGUGCCAUUGAAACUGGUAGACUUGAGUAAAGUAGAGGUGGGCGGAAUUGAUAGUGUAGCGGUGAAAUGCAUAGAUAUUAUCAAGAACUCCAAUUGCGAAGGCAGCUCACUUGGCUUUUACUGACACUCAUGCACGAAAGUGUGGGUAUCAAACAGGAUUAGAUACCCUGG
This 700-nucleotide ribosomal RNA is filed under the name uncultured Bacteroidota bacterium. Its description in RNAcentral is "bacterial SSU rRNA". It matches the Rfam family "Bacterial small subunit ribosomal RNA", at positions 91 to 790 of the family's 1533-position model. Lineage: Bacteria; Pseudomonadati; Bacteroidota. The record is from RNAcentral.